GAUGAACGCUAGCGGCAGGCUUAAUACAUGCAAGUCGAGGGGUAUGGUAGCAAUACCUGAGACCGGCGAACGGGUGCGUAACGCGUAUGCAACCUACCUAUAUCAGGGGGAUAGCCCUAGGAAACUGGGAUUAAUACCGCAUAAUAUAUGAAUUGGCAUCGAUUUAUAUUGAAAGAUUUAUCGGAUAUAGAUGGGCAUGCGUAGGAUUAGCUAGUUGGUAAGGUAACGGCUUACCAAGGCUACGAUCCUUAGGGGCUCUGAGAGGAGUAUCCCCCACACUGGCACUGAGAUACGGGCCAGACUCCUACGGGAGGCAGCAGUAGGGAAUAUUGGGCAAUGGUCGCAAGACUGACCCAGCCAUGCCGCGUGCAGGAAGACGGUCCUCUGGAUUGUAAACUGCUUUUGAAUGGGAAGAACGGCAUGCUUGCGAGCGUGAUUGACGGUACCAUUAGAAUAAGCCACGGCUAACUACGUG
This 475-nucleotide ribosomal RNA is filed under the name uncultured organism. Its description in RNAcentral is "bacterial SSU rRNA". It matches the Rfam family "Bacterial small subunit ribosomal RNA", at positions 28 to 507 of the family's 1533-position model. The record is from RNAcentral.